AAAUUGUCCUGGACUUACUUCACCAAAAUGGAGCCGAUCUGCUUCAAUUGAGAGGCAGAGAAAUUCUGAAACUUUUGGAUCUCGAAAGGGCGAAAACAAAUUGGGCGAAACAGCAGGUGGUUGUGCUCUCAUACAGACGAUGACGCGAUAGGCUUCAACGAUGGUCGAUUUAGACUUGAUUCAUAAGGAAAACUCGUAUUGUGGGCCAUGAUUUUAUGCGUUCUUCAUAUACGGUUAGCUGCUACCUACACAUUGUACUACGUGUUGUGUUGAACCUGAAGAUACUUUUUUGGUUGAGCCUGAGCCAAUAUCCGACGGUUGCCGUGAUUAACGAUGGAAGUAUUUCAAGGGAUGUCUCAUAGCAUUAUACGGUACGUACAUCAAUGUUCGUGUGCGUGCGGGUUCCUCAAAUUCAUAUACUUGCUCCCGGGCGUCAAGGAUGCUACGUGAUGCUGUAAGUCGAGAGGAUGGACUCGAAGUGCAGAGAAAUGAUAUUACUAUAUAUGUGACAAUGGUUAUGCGAAUAGUGAAGGGUUCUUGACGCCCUACAAAGGGGUUCGUUAUCAUCUGAAAGAGUUGGGACCUGCAUGCGAGCGUCCUCAAAACCCUCGAGAAUUAUUCAAUAUGAAGCAUACUAGAGCACAAAAUGUCAUUGAGCGGGCAUUCGCCGUCCUAAAAAUGCGGUGAGGCAUUCUCUGGAGUUGCAGCUUCUAUCAAAUACAAGUUCAAAUAGGGUUGAUAAUCGCAUGUUUUCUACUACACAACUUCAUACAAGGUGAGAUGGCGGUAGACCCAAUAGAGGCGCAGCUCGACCGAGAAGCUAAUAGUGCUAUGGAUAAAGAAGCCGAUGAGGAUGUAGUUGAAUACGUCGACAAUGUAGAAGCAACCACUGCAUGGAACAGGAUGAGGGACGACCUAGCAGCUUCCAUGUUGGCUAAUUCAAAUGCGGCGUGAAGGGCGUAUUGAAGCUAAUAUUUAUGCAUGUCCAAAUUCUGUUUAUGAGAGAUUUAGUCAACGAGACUCAGUACCGUGGCUUGUUUAUGGUUUAUUUUCAAGACUAACAUGCUUUAUGUCUCUCUGCAAAGAACUAUAUAUGCAAAUCUUUGCUAUUUUCCUUCGCUA
Salvia splendens (bonfire salvia) is the source of this 1122-nucleotide long non-coding RNA. RefSeq lists it as uncharacterized. The record is from RefSeq and is a predicted model, not a curated record. NCBI's taxonomy places the organism in Eukaryota, Viridiplantae, Streptophyta, Magnoliopsida, Lamiales, Lamiaceae. The transcript is spliced from 4 exons.